GUUUGGAGCAACAUGAAAUUUGUUAUCCAGUCCUCUGAAUGAGCAGGUGUUUGAGACGAAACACGGAGGAGAAAUGAGUAUCCAGGCUCAAAGUUACACAAACAACAACACAACGUCCUUCCGUCCAGCCUCAGUUGUUGCCCAGAUGUCCAGUGACUCUUUCAGAACAACAGUAGCUCCAAUAAACUGCAGCCUCAGGUUCAAAACCACUGGAAACACUCUACAAAACAUUCACCAUACAUUUUAAUAGUUUGGUUUAGUGAAGUUUAUUGUCAUUCCAGCAAUACUGUAUGCAUGUAUACAGUGGAACGAAAUGUUGUUUCACCAGGUCAAUUUGACCCAAACUGGAUAGUCAAACUGCUCAAAGAAAUUAAAUAAAUAAAAAAUC
This is a long non-coding RNA of Sinocyclocheilus anshuiensis, 388 nucleotides long. RefSeq lists it as uncharacterized. NCBI's taxonomy places the organism in Eukaryota, Metazoa, Chordata, Actinopteri, Cypriniformes, Cyprinidae. The record is from RefSeq and is a predicted model, not a curated record. The transcript is spliced from 3 exons.